This 77-nucleotide transfer RNA is filed under the name Deltaproteobacteria bacterium. Its description in RNAcentral is "tRNA-Lys". It matches the Rfam family "tRNA". From Rfam's summary of the family: Transfer RNA (tRNA) molecules are approximately 80 nucleotides in length. Their secondary structure includes four short double-helical elements and three loops (D, anti-codon, and T loops). Lineage: Bacteria; Pseudomonadati; Myxococcota; Myxococcia. RNAcentral also lists the same sequence under 3 other names. The record is from RNAcentral.
GGGCUUGUAGCUCAGUCAGGUAGAGCGCCGGGCUUUUAACCCGGUUCGCGCGGGUUCGAACCCCGUCAAGCCCGCCA